AAUAGAUACCCGGGUAGUCCACCCCGUAAACGUUGGGAACUAGUUGUGGGGUCCUUUCCACGGAUUCCGUGACGCAGCUAACGCAUUAAGUUCCCCGCCUGGGGAGUACGGCCGCAAGGCUAAAACUCAAAGAAAUUGACGGGGACCCGCACAAGCGGCGGAGCAUGCGGAUUAAUUCGAUGCAACGCGAAGAACCUUACCAAGGCUUGACAUACACCAGAACACCCUAGAAAUAGGGGACUCUUUGGACACUGGUGAACAGGUGGUGCAUGGUUGUCGUCAGCUCGUGUCGUGAGAUGUUGGGUUAAGUCCCGCAACGAGCGCAACCCUCGUUCUAUGUUGCCAGCACGUAAUGGUGGGAACUCAUGGGAUACUGCCGGGGUCAACUCGGAGGAAGGUGGGGAUGACGUCAAAUCAUCAUGCCCCUUAUGUCUUGGGCUUCACGCAUGCUACAAUGGCCGGUACAAAGGGCUGCAAUACCGUGAGGUGGAGCGAAUCCCAAAACGCCGGUCCCAGUUCGGAUUGAGGUCUGCAACUCGACCUCAUGAA
Molecule: ribosomal RNA, 549 nt
Filed under: uncultured bacterium
Lineage: Bacteria
Description: bacterial SSU rRNA
Rfam family: Bacterial small subunit ribosomal RNA
Source: RNAcentral